This is a long non-coding RNA of Diabrotica virgifera virgifera (western corn rootworm), 1229 nucleotides long. RefSeq lists it as uncharacterized. The transcript is spliced from 3 exons. Lineage: Eukaryota; Metazoa; Arthropoda; Insecta; Coleoptera; Chrysomelidae. The record is from RefSeq and is a predicted model, not a curated record.
UACGAGUGAUUAGGAUUAUUAUUAUUUUAUUUACAUGUAAAUUGAAACAAUAAAUAUUGUACUGUGUCAUAAUUUAAAACUCAUUAUGUUGCAGUCUUUUCCAGUUGAUAAAAUUGCAAUUCAAAACUCAAUGUUAAUUGCAAAAACUUUUAGAUUUGCACUGUAUGGAUGGCACAGGAAGAGAAUGAGAGUACAAGAACAUGAAACAUCUUAUUAUGAAUGUAUAUGUAUGUGAUCCUCAAAAAAUUAUUAGAAAGAGAGCUUUAAAAUCCCAAGGAUCCUGCAAAAUGUUUAUUUGGUGUACUAGCAGAAUAAUAGUAUCUAAAAAUAUUGAAACCGAUUGUUGUGCAGUAACAUAUUUUAAAACACAUUACGGGCAUGAUGAUGAUAUAGAGCACUUACAUAAAUACCAAAAUCAGAUAAAUAUCUCUUCAAAGUUUAUUUUGAGACUUUCUUCAAAAAUUAAACUUCAGACUGUUCAGGAUAGCAUAAUAGCAUAGGAGGCGAAUUAAAAAGAAUUAAUUUACUUACAAGAAAAGAUAUCACAAACAUUAAACUCUCUUAUGGCAUUGACUUGAAAGAUGGAUAUAUGUACAAUGAUGAUGCAACCAGUGUUUAUUUUUGGGUUGAAUGCUUACAGACUCAUGUCCAAUAUUAUUUUACAAACAACAGGGCAUACUAAUGGAUAUUCAUUCUGAAUUUAAUAUUUAUGAUUUUUGUCUUAUUUUCCUUAAUGCUGUGCCAAAAGGAAAUGUUAAUUAAGUUUGGUAAAUCCUUUAUCACAAUCGAUGGAACUCAUGGGCUCAAAUCCUAUGACUUUGAACUUAUGACAGUAUUAGUAAAAGAUGAAUUUGGGAAUGGAUUUUGUACUGCUUUCUUAUUUUCAAAUAGAAAAGAUACCUACUUUUAUUUACCAAUUUUUUUAAAUACAUGUCUGUGUUGGUAUUAUAUGUAUAGUAGGGUGGAGUGAAAAUAAAACAAAAUUUUUUUUUUCUCAAAUUUUUUCGCCUGUAUGCGGAAAAGUGGUCUCACGUGUAGUGUAAGUAGCUUGCAAAAAAUGAAUUUGAUGGGAUAAUUUUUUCCGGUGCCCCAAGCCACCUAAAAAUUAAGAUAACGUGAAAAUAAAACAAAAAUUUUUUUUUCUCAAAUUUUUUCGCCUGUAUGUGGAAAAGUGGUCUCACGUGUAGUGUAAGUAGCUUGCAAAAAAUGAAUUUGAUGCGAUAAUUUUU